ACUGCUCAGCUGGUAGAGCAUGAGACUCUUAAUCUCAGGAUUGUGGUUUUGAGUCCCAUGUUAGGCA
Podarcis lilfordi (Lilford's wall lizard) is the source of this 67-nucleotide non-coding RNA. Lineage: Eukaryota; Metazoa; Chordata; Lepidosauria; Squamata; Lacertidae. The record is from the annotation of a GenBank genome assembly.